This 200-nucleotide ribosomal RNA is filed under the name uncultured eukaryote. Its description in RNAcentral is "partial 18S ribosomal RNA". It matches the Rfam family "Eukaryotic small subunit ribosomal RNA", at positions 588 to 790 of the family's 1831-position model. The record is from RNAcentral.
GCUCCAAUAGCGUAUAUUAAAGUUGUUGCGGUUAAAAAGCUCGUAGUUGGAUUUCUGGGAAGGACGACCGGUCCACCACUGGGUGAGAACAUGGUUCGGCUUGACCAUUUUCUUGGAGAACGCUGCUGCGCUUCGUUGUGUGGGGCGGUAUCCAAGACUUUUUACUUUGAGGAAAUUAGAGUGUUUCAAGCAGGCGCACG